Molecule: unclassified non-coding RNA, 386 nt
Filed under: Hevea brasiliensis (rubber tree)
Lineage: Eukaryota; Viridiplantae; Streptophyta; Magnoliopsida; Malpighiales; Euphorbiaceae
Source: RNAcentral
CACCAACAAAAGUACAAUAACCAGUCAUAGACCUCCUAUCAUCAAAAGAUCUAGCCCAAUCUGCAUUCGUAAAGGCUUUUAUCUGGAGAUGGCCACGCCUUGAAAAAAGGUCAUUUUCCGGGUGCAAAUGUCAGAUAUCUCAAAAUACAGAAAACAGCUUCUAAGUGAGGUUAGCUAGGAUCAUACAUAUUCUGACUUACUCGACUCACCGCAUAAGCUAUGCCAGGUCUAGUAUACGAGAGAUAAAUCAAUCUCCCAACCAACCUCUAAUAUCUUCCUAAGUCAAUUGAUUCCCCAACUCAUGCUUGUAAUCUAUUAUUAGUUAAAAUAGGUAUUUUAUAGAUUUAUAGCUCAACGUUUCCGUUUCUUCUAAGAGGUCUAAAAUA